CCAACCAUAGCUCAGUUGGUAGAGCGGAGGACUGUAGCGUAUAUAUGGAGCAGUAAUCCUUAGGUCGCUGGUUCGAAUCCGGCUGGUUGGA
RNAcentral lists this transfer RNA (91 nucleotides) under Loa loa (African eye worm). Its description in RNAcentral is "tRNA-Tyr". It matches the Rfam family "tRNA". From Rfam's summary of the family: Transfer RNA (tRNA) molecules are approximately 80 nucleotides in length. Their secondary structure includes four short double-helical elements and three loops (D, anti-codon, and T loops). The record is from Rfam by way of RNAcentral. Lineage: Eukaryota; Metazoa; Nematoda; Chromadorea; Rhabditida; Onchocercidae.